AGGUAAAUAUUCCUCACGCCAGCAGGUGAGGAGGCUGGGGCCAGAUGACAGCUAGUGAGGGAGCAGAGACAAGACAAGGCGAGCCUGUGACAGAGCGAGACCCUGUCUCAAAAAACAAAAACAAGACAUGUGAGCUUGGACUCCAGUGUGGAAUCCCAUGUCCGCUCAGUGCACCUUUCUGCCGCUGAAAGUACAAGAGGAGAGGGGAAACCCACAGGUGGAGCUGACCAUGAGGACUGUCACAGCUUUGAGAGGCAAAUCCAGAAAUCAGCCCUCCAGCUUCCUCUACCAAGAAGACUGGCGGUUACAACCCUGGCUCUGUGGGGCUUCUCUUGCCCUCUCUUCUGACUGCCCUACUUGGCUCCAGGUGAGGGUGAGAGGAAGCUGGAGAUGGAAGAUGCAGCUGGGGGAACUCACCAGGCAGGUCUCAGGGAACUCUUUGAAUAAGAGGACACCAGAUCAUGCCUGCAGUUCCAGCCCAGGAGCAACUAGCACCAGCCUCAGCAUGGAGCAGGACUUCAGUUCCAGCAGCGAGGACUGAGAUCAGACACAAGAGAAAGCUCCCUGAUGAGGAGGGGUGAUUCUAAAACGAAGGGCGGAAAUUAUCUGGGGAAUUUCCUUCCCGUGAAGCCUCAGGAACAUGCCAGUCCCCCACUUCGGUCUGUCCUGGGGGGUCUCACGCCCCUGUCCUCCUAGAGAAAUCUAGAUCCUCCAAACUCUGCCUGGGUUCUUCCUGGGGAGUCUUGACCCCUGCCUUGUGGUUGAUGUGGGAUAGGGGACCCGGGAACAGGGCUGCCUUCCUCUGGCCAAGGCCUGGCAAGCAAGUGUGGGAUGGGUGCUGUCUUCCUGAGAGGGACAAUAGAAGUGACAGAGCCCCCUAAUUCAAGACCCUGCAGAGGUGGUGUGAGAUCUUAUAAUAUCAGUCUCUAAGCCAGUGCCUCUCAAGCUCUCUUUGGUGAAGAAUCAAUUUUUAAAAUAUAUAAUCAGUCACAGAUCAAUGCUUUUGUAAAAUGCAAUAAAAGUUAAUUUCCAAAAAAAUCACA
Homo sapiens (human) is the source of this 1043-nucleotide long non-coding RNA. RefSeq annotates it as long independently transcribed non-coding RNA 1118. The transcript is spliced from 4 exons. NCBI's taxonomy places the organism in Eukaryota, Metazoa, Chordata, Mammalia, Primates, Hominidae. The record is from RefSeq and is marked validated.